CACACACCUACCCACUAACCCACACACUCACACAAGUCAGUGUCAGCUUUGGCCACAUGACUUUAUUACAAUACAUUUUUUGUUAAAACAUGACAUUAUAAACCACAAUAGAAUUUUAAAAGAAAACCUUAUUUCUCCGCUGUGCUCUAUCCCUUUAAUUCUGAUAUAAUUACUGUCUCAUUACAGUUAUUAAUCAUAAUGUAGAUGACACAACCAAUGCCUGGUGAUAGGCUAUCACCCAUCCAUCAUAUUUACACUAAGAGCCCUUAUCAUGAACUCGUUAUUCAGAACUAUAUUCCCUCACUAAGUGUUUUUUACAGAGUGUGUUCAUGUACUUGGAAAUGGUAUUUACACGUCUUUGGUGUAGUGGACAGACAGAGACAGACAGCCAGAAAGAGACAGCCAGAGACAGACAGAGACUUAAGGCGUGGCAGUAUAUAUAAGAUACAACUCUGUUCCAACAUUUUAGAGAUGCAUCCUUCUUUCUUUCCUUCCUUCCUUCCUUCCUUCCUUCCUUCCUCUAAGUGGAAGGAAAGCUCAUAACAAUGUCUGGAACAGACCGAAUGGAAUGGCAUCAAACCAGUGGUGUAAAGUCCUUAAGCCUCUGGCCUGGCAGACUCACUAAACACAAAUGCUUCGUCUGUAUGUAUGAGUGUUGGAGUGUGUCCCUGGCUACCUGUCAAUAAAAAUAAAAUAAAAAAUUGUGCAGUCUGGUUUGCUUAAUAAAAGGAAUUUGAAAUGGUUUAUACUUCUACUUUUGAUACUUAAGUACAUUUUAGCAGUUACAUUUUUCUUUUAAAACCAAAUACUUUUAGACUUUAACUCAAGUAGUAUUUUACUGGGUGACUUUUACUUUUACUUGAGUCAUUUCCUAUUAAGGUAUCUUUACUUUUACUUGAGUCAUUUCCUAUUAAGGUAUCUUUACUUUUACUUGAGUCAUUUCCUAUUAAGGUAUCUUUACUUUUACUUGAGUCAUUUCCUAUUAAGGUAUCUUUACUUUUACAAAAGUUGUUUAAUUGAAUACUUUUCCCACCAUUGCAUCAAACACAGAACCCUUUGUUAGAUGUGUUUCAUACAAUUCCACUGAUUCCACUCCAGUCAUUCCAACAAAAGCCCGUCCUCCCCAAUUAAGGUGCCACCAACCUCCUGUGCUCUGUCCCUUUAAUUCUGAUAUUAUGACUGUCUCAUUACAGUUAUUAAUCAUAAUGUAGAUGACACAACCAAUGCCUGGUGAUAGGCUAUCACCCAUCACUUGUUACAGUAUUAACAACAAGCCUGUUUUAUCUACUACAAUAUUUACACUAAGAGCCCUUAUCAUGAACUCGUUAUUCAGAACUAUAUUCCCUCACUUAGUGUUUUUUACAGAGUGUGUUCAUGUACUUGGAAAUGGUAUUUACACGUCUUUGGUGCAGUGGACAGACAGAGACAGACAGAGACAGACAGACAGAGACUUAAAGGUGUGGCAAUUUGAAUGCUCUUAUAUAAGAUACAGCUCUGUUCCAACAUUUUAGAGAUCCUUCCUUCCUUCCUUCCUUCCUACCUACCUACCUACCUACCUACCUACCUACCUACCUUCCUCAAAGUGAUGUCUUACCUAACUACACUGGAUAGGUGAAGAUUUUGUGGUGGAAAUAUCACUCAGACCCAAUCCAACUCUCUAAGGCCAGACCCAAUCCAACUCUCUAAGGUCAGACCCAAUCCAACUCUCUAAGGUCAGACCCAAUCCAACCCUCUAAGGUCAGACCCAAUCCAACCCUCUAAGGUCAGACCCAAUCCAACCCUCUAAGGUCAGACCCAAUCCAACCCUCUAAGGUCAGACCCAAUCCAACCCUCUAAGGUCAGACCCAAUCCAACCCUCUAAGGUCAGACCAGGAAGUAAAGGAACUGAAGGAUGCAUGUUUUCAAGGAACCUGUAUUCACACAGGGCUGAAACAAAACAGUCUCAAUGUCAACUUGUCAUCUAAAGUACUGCUGAUUAAUUAAUAAAAUACUUUUUGUAAAGACCUCUCUCUCUCUUUCUCUGUCUCUCUCUCUUUCUUACUGACUGUCGGUCUGUCUUGUUCCAGCUCCUUCAAUCUGUAUUUUCCCUCUCUCCCCUUCUCUCUCUCUCUCUCUCUCUCACCCUCUCUCUCUCUG
Oncorhynchus tshawytscha (Chinook salmon) is the source of this 2136-nucleotide long non-coding RNA. Lineage: Eukaryota; Metazoa; Chordata; Actinopteri; Salmoniformes; Salmonidae. The record is from Ensembl.